This is a long non-coding RNA of Nanorana parkeri, 307 nucleotides long. RefSeq lists it as uncharacterized. The record is from RefSeq and is a predicted model, not a curated record. The transcript is spliced from 3 exons. Lineage: Eukaryota; Metazoa; Chordata; Amphibia; Anura; Dicroglossidae.
UCUUGAUUUUAUAUGUUAUUUUGAUUAUUAUGGUCUGGAUAGUUUAUAUAUAUUGUAAUACCAUAAAAGAUGAAUAUUAAUGCAAUUCAUUUUCUGUAUAGAAAUUGAAUGAAAUAUUUUUUUUCCAAUGUGAUAUUGUGUGAUAAUGAUGACAUGUACAUUGUGUGGAAAUGUAGCAUUUAAUAUGUAAUUUCAAGUGCCCCUAAAGAUCAUUAAUGAUGUGAAUUGCAACUAUGAUCUGUAUCAUGCUGGCUGUUGAUUAAUGCCUUACAUUGUCUGCUUAUAGAGUUUGAACCAGGUUUUUAGU